RNAcentral lists this long non-coding RNA (2048 nucleotides) under Helianthus annuus (common sunflower). RNAcentral describes it as "hypothetical non coding rna". The record is from RNAcentral. Lineage: Eukaryota; Viridiplantae; Streptophyta; Magnoliopsida; Asterales; Asteraceae.
GCUUCAAUUCGUUGUUCUGUGUUCGCCAUUCUCGAAUUGAGUCAGAAUCCUAGAAAGAUAUUGUGAGACCUCAUUCAUAUCUGGGCGAGCUGACGGAUCUUUACUGAGGCAACCAUCAAUCAGUUUGACCAAAGACAUGGCGAGUUCCGGAAGAUAAUUCCCUUGGAGGCGUUGGUCAAUGAAACUGGUCAACUUUUCAUUUGUGUCUGUGUUUUCUUCCUGGAGAACAUCAUAUAAAACCUCAGACAAAUUCUUGUUCACCAUCUCGUAGAGAUCAGAAACAUGUUUUCCUGUAACUAUUUCAAGUAACAGAACGCCAAAUCCGUAAACAUCAAGCUUUGUGGAAAUCAACCCGUUUUCCAAAUAUUCGGGAGACAUGUAACCUCUAGUACCAACAAUGUGUCGGGUCAGUGCGAAUUGACCUUCUUGCCCUUCAGCAGACCUUGCAAGAUCAAAAUUUGUAAUCUUUGCUCUGAAAUCACCAUCAAGAAGAAUAUUGCUGCUUUCUAGAUUCUUGUAAACAUAUGGAGGGGUGGUAUAACUGUGGAGGUAAUCAAGCCCGUUUGCUACGUCUAAAGCAAUUUGUAUUCUCUGCAUCCAGUUUAACGAUUUGUUGCUGCUUAGUGCGUUAUAAUAGAUCCAAUCGCUUAAUGGCCCAUUAACAGCAAACUCAUAAACAAGAUACCAAUGACCGUCAUCAAAACAAACACCUGCUAGGUGAAUGAGAUUAUGAUGGUGAAUAGUGUUAAGUAAACGAAUCUCGUUUGACACGUCACCAUGCAUUUUCUUGAUGGCAACAAGGUUUCCGUUGAUGGUACCUUGGUAAACAGACCCCUUAAUCAAACAAUCGGGACUAAAAUCUUGUGUGGCUGACUGAAGUUGUUCAAAUUUGUAUACUUUGAGGGAUUGCGCUAUGCUACUUAAACUCUCCAAGAAUUCCGAGUCUUCAUCAAUAUCCAACUUCUUAUCCCCUGGUUUUACAAUUGCUUCAAAGCUCUGAGAAGCAGAAGAAACCGUAGGUGGAGUCGUUUUCUUUUUCUUUGAAAAGAAAAGGUAGAAAAUGCACAACCCAAUAGCAAAUGUGAGAACAACCCCUCCAAGGACUCCUACAAGCAUAUAUACCCAUUUAUGAUCAUUGGCGGAAGUGGGGGGUGGUGGCGACAGUGGUGAUGGUGGUGGCGAUGUUGUUGGAGGCGGUGGCGGUGCUAUGGUUUGAGAUUUAUUAGGUGGAUUAGAAAGUGGAACUAAAAGGGUGGUGAACGGGUAGAUAUUAAAAUCGGUUUCUGAUAACUCAUUGGCUUGAAGAGUCAGCCCAGUAUCAACUCCAAAUAUAGCACUUAUAGCCGAAACCGUUUGUCCCCAAGUGAUCAAGUAAGACAGCAAAUAGUUAAUACCAGCAGCAGCUUGCUUUUCGGUUGGACAAGCACAUCUUAAUGGCACGGCCUCCGAAAGUGUCGUUGGCGAUCAAGAGAGGCGUGUCUCCGGACUGGAUAACAUAAGUCGUGUUCGCUUGAUAGAACUGACCCAAACACGAACACCGGGUGGGCACAAGCACCGUCUCACCAGUUCCAAAAGUGUAGUUUUCUGAGACCAAGUUGAGUUGUGAAAGCUGAGUAGCGUUUGCAUUCAAUAAACCGGCGAUGGAAACAACCGUGUUAUAAGGGGGUUUGGAUCGGAAGGUGAGAUAAGCUUGGCAGGUAUCGUUAACACCGUUACAGGCGUAACCGAAAACAGAAGUUGAAGCAUUUGUGACAGCACAGUUUGUACUCAACUUCCUGAUGUAUGGUUGUUGGGCCUGAAUCAAAAUCGGCGGACAAAUUAAGAGGAUAGCGCAAACGAAGAAAAAGCGCAGGGCCAGCAUGUUUGAGAUGUUAGCAGAAGAUCGGAAUCUGAAGUUGAUUGAAUGGAAAGAAGAGGAUGGAGUUGACCAAGUUGGAUGAAGGAAGCGUAGGGAUGAUCAAAGAUAAUAUUGUUUGGAGUAGUUAAUUAGUAGGCAUGAUGAACGAAGGUUUGAAUUGAAAUGUUCAUGUGGGAAUCAAAUGAUUUGA